GUUAAAAAGCUCGUAGUUGGAUUUCUGGGAGGGUGCCAUGUCCGCCGACGUGCGUGCGCAGCGGCGCCCUCUCAUCCUUCUGUUAACGUCUCUCGGCAUUCAUUUGCCGGUGGCGGGCUCAGAUAUUUUACCUUGAGAAAAUUAGAGUGUUUCAGGCAGGCUAGGCCGGAAUACAUUAGCAUGGAAUAAUGGAAUAGGACUUCGGUCUCUUUGUUGGUUUGAGGGACUGCAGUAAUGAUCAAUAGGGAUAGUUGGGGGCAUUAGUAUUUAAUUGUCAGAGGUGGAAUUCUCGGAUUUGUUAAAGACUAACUUAUGCGAAAGCAUUUGCCAAGGAUGUUUUCAUUAAUCCAAGAACGAAAGUUAGGGGAUCAAAGA
RNAcentral lists this ribosomal RNA (375 nucleotides) under uncultured eukaryote. Its description in RNAcentral is "SSU rRNA". It matches the Rfam family "Eukaryotic small subunit ribosomal RNA", at positions 618 to 1004 of the family's 1831-position model. The record is from RNAcentral.